CUCCUCCUUUGCCUUUGCCGUUUUUAUCGAUAACUAUCUACAAACAAACUGGUAACAACACUAUCGCUCGGCGACAGCAACUUCUCGGAAAUAGACUCGGAUCAGUUGCUCGACCGAUCCGCAUAUUGUAUGAGGGCGAGCGGCCUGUGUUGCAAAGAGUAUAAUAAUAUAUAGGGAAACUGUGUUGUUAAACAAAUCCGAAACAACACGGACGAUAACAUUUGUAAUUUUUAAGUUUAAAAAAGGAUUAAAAGAAGUAUUCAGUAAUAAUAUGAUUAAAAAAUACUUACAUAUGAAAGGUAACGCCAUCGUUUAGUAAAUUUGACGUGGCAAAUCUCUUUUUCAAUCAAUUGCGCAAAUAGAUUUCGUCUAGUGAUCAAUGCGGCUGCAACUAGUCCAUUUCAUCUAUUCAGAGAGAGCUGAGAUUUUAGAAUAUUUAAUAAUUUUAAUGUGUAAUCAAAUUAUUAUACAUAGCUCUGCAUUAUAUUUUAAGUUAUAUAGUUAGCUAGCAAGUUUAGAUGUAAAUUUUUAUAAAAAUUAUUGUAAUUAACAUUUUUAUUUUUCAUUUUAUUCCAGGUCCAGUAACAGUGCAAGAAGAUUUACAUGGUAAAAAUAGACAUUCACAGCACCCUCAGAUUAUACCAAAAGUGUCAGCAAUUAGUUUAACAGAUCAGUUUCAGUUGAGACACUGCAUCAUUGCUUCAUUUUAUGGGCGAAAUUAGGUCCAGAGACUCCAACAUCUGAGCACCACAAAAAGUGGAUAGAAGCAAUAAAAAAAUUUAAAUCCAUGUAAUUUGUAAAUCCUGCUGGGAAAGUAUAUGCAUAUGUUCCCAUUGUAAAUAAUUGGGUAUGGACACUAGAAGCAAUUGAAGUCUGACUAAAAAAAAACCUAAUUUAUUAUGUUACAUCUGUCUGGUUGCGGCACUUAAACCAAGACCCAUUAGAAAAUGGCGCUAUUCGAAGCCUUGGGUGUCGUAACAACAACUCAACUUAUGAUCAGUUUGAAAACUCCUAUGCCACCUUAGUGGUUAUUAAUUUGAACUGUGGCUACAUCCAUGGAAAAAAUUGUGACUUCUGAGAAAAGGGGACUUCUGUGAUGCACUACCUACAUUAUUAAUCACAGAAAAUAUUGACACCAAGUUGACUGAAACUCUGGACUUUUGGACUUUAUAGACAUGGAGCUAGUUUCCAUUCAGGAAUUAGGAAAUAAUCCUACUAUUAUGGCACCCCUGAAAUAUGUAAAUGGUUAUUCUUUUAAAAAAACUGAUAAGUAAAAUCUUCAAGUAAUGCCAUAUAUGCACAAGUAUGGCACCAGAAGGCCAUGAGAGCAUAUAUAUUAAAUUCCGAGAGUAUGCAGGUUGACGUUGGCUUUGCUAUCCCAGCAGUGAUUUUAAUAAAUCAUAUUUUUAUGAAAUCCUAAAAAAGAAUAUUUAUAGGAAAUUGCUUAAGGAAUAUUUAAAAACUGCUGUAUUAACCAUAGCCAAUUUUAAUGUACCAUUCACCCGUUGUACAGAACACCGAGAAAAAAAUAUUGAUUUCAUAAUAAAUCUAGUUAAUAAGAUUUAUGAUUUAUAAUUAUUGUAAUAAUAUAAAUAAAAUAAUAACGGGUAAAAUAAAAACUUACGAUGUAAAGAACCAUUUUCAAUUAAAAGCAAAACUUGAUGAUAGUGGUUCUUAAUUUCUGUUUUUGGCUAUUUUCGUUGUGAUUUUGUAGGGUGUAAUUUUUUUGUCUUUUGAAAUAAACGAUUGUUAAAUUUUAUUUAUUUAUAUAUAAUUUAUAUUAAUUAAUGUAUAUUUUAUUAUGAUAUUUUAUUCCUAAUUUUUAUUUAUUUUGAUUAUGAUAAUUGUUAUUUAUUUUUGAUAUUGAUUGAUUAUUUUAGUUAUGAUGAUGAGUGUCACUUUUUAUUUAUUUACUAGCUAACUCGGCAAACGUUGUCUUGCGCUAUUUAAUAAUAGGGGUUGGUGGUAGAAGGGUGAAAAUUUAGGGUUGUAUGUAUUUUUCAAUGCCAAAUCAUAAUAAAAUAAAGAAAAAAAUAUUUUAUCUAAAAAUUAAAAAAAAAAUUAGGGGUGGACUACCCUUAACAUUAAGGGGGAUAAAAAAUAGAUAUUGUUCGAUGUUUAGACCUACCUAAUAUGCACACAAAAUUUUAUGAGAAUCGGUCAAGCCGUUUCGGAGGAGUUUAACUACAAACACUGCGACACGAGAAUUUUAUAUAUUAGAUUACAAAUAUUGAACUUAAUUAAUGUAUAUGUGAAGUUCAAAUAUUUUAAUUAUUUGUAAUUUUUUGUGUUUUUAAUCCAUGUAUUCAUUUCAUCAUUCAUGUAUUAAUUUGUUUAAUUUUAAAUUGUUUAGGUGUAUAUUGUGUUUUGAAAUAAAUAAAUCUUCUAAAUAUAUAUAAGAGAUUUCCACCUAUAUAUUGACUCA
Molecule: unclassified non-coding RNA, 2425 nt
Filed under: Melitaea cinxia (Glanville fritillary)
Lineage: Eukaryota; Metazoa; Arthropoda; Insecta; Lepidoptera; Nymphalidae
Description: misc RNA ENSMCXG00005013750.1
Source: RNAcentral